Balaenoptera musculus (blue whale) is the source of this 103-nucleotide small nuclear RNA. Lineage: Eukaryota; Metazoa; Chordata; Mammalia; Artiodactyla; Balaenopteridae. The record is from Ensembl.
GUGCUUACUUCGGCAGCACAUAUAUAAAGUUGGAACGAUACAGAGAUUAGCAUCGCCCCUGUGCAAGGAUGACAUGCAAAUUCAUGAAGCGUUCCAUAUUUUU